Molecule: ribosomal RNA, 248 nt
Filed under: uncultured bacterium
Lineage: Bacteria
Description: partial 16S ribosomal RNA
Rfam family: Bacterial small subunit ribosomal RNA
Source: RNAcentral
UACGUAGGGGGCUAGCGUUGUCCGGAUUUAUUGGGCGUAAAGAGCGUGUAGGCGGCCAGGUAGGUCUGCUGUGAAAACCUGAGGCUCAACCUCAGGCCUGCAGUCGAUACGGGCGGACUUGAGUACUGCAGGGGAGACUGGAAUUCCUGGUGUAGCGGUGAAAUGCGCAGAUAUCAGGAGGAACACCGGUGGCGAAGGCGGGUCUCUGGGCAGUAACUGACGCUGGAGGAGCGAAAGCCGUGGGGAGC